AACCCGGGUGCUGAUGUGGGUUUUCUCGUCAUCAUAAAGCUUUGCCAAUCCAAAAUCUGAUAUUUUUGGGGAGAGUUCUGCAUCGAGCAAAAUAUUACUGGCCUUAACAUCUCGAUGUACAAUCCUUGGCCUUGACUCCUCGUGAAGGUAAGCAAGUCCUCUUGCUGUUCCCAACAAUAUAUUGAAUCGAGUAGGCCAGUCAAGGUGCAAGUUACUUGUCCCUGAAAUAUUUGUGAACACAUCUAAUCAAAAACAUUUUUAAGUAAUUUUAGAGUGCUUGAAACUACAGAAAAUGUUGUUUCUAUGUAACCUAAAAGUAGAUAGGUUUGUACCAAAAAGUGCCUGAUCAAGGCUCUUGUUUUCAAGAUACUCAUAAACCAAAAUGCGCUGGCUGCCUUCGAUGCAGCAUCCAUACAAUUUCACUAGAUUCCGAUGUUGCACUGCAGAUAUGGUAGCAAUUUCAGAUACAAAUUGACUCUUUCCUUGGUGAGAUGCUACUGAAAGUUGCUUCACAGCCACUAUUCUCCCAUCAGAAAGUGCACCCUACAAUGUACACAUAAACACAAUUUAGUGACAUGAAAGGAAAGAAAAAAGGAGCUAUAUUUUCCUCUCGCUUGCUCGCUCUUUCUCCCUUUCUCUUGUCAUUACUUCAAGUACAUGAUAUUGAUGUAAUACGGAUUUCACCUUAUAAACAGGGCCAUAUCCUCCCUCUCCUAGCUUAUUUGAAGUAUUAAAAUCUUCAGUUGCGGUUCUCAAUUCAGCAUAACUGAAAGUAUAUGGUCGGGGGCCUAAUCCUAGAAUAUCUGCACAUUCAUGAAACAGUUGACAUAAGUUUUACUUUCGUGAAAGCAUUCUUACUUCUGUGUGUUAAUAUUAGGGCAGCAAAACCUGAAUUGGGUACCAAUAAUGAUAUGGUCGUUUACCUUCAUCGUCUUCUUUUUCUGAUUUUUUCCUCCUCAUAUAUAGAAUUGCAAAUAUUAAUAGCAAGCUCACAACUCCAAUAGGAACUGCAAUACCGACUAUCAACCCAGUCUUGCUCUUCUUUCCUGGAGUAGUUGGUGGAAGCCCGGCAACUGUUGGUGUAAAAUCUGAGUAAUAAAACAGAUGAAUUCUUCAGUGUCAAUUAAUAGCAGAAAAAUACAUUUAAACCAAUCAUAGGAAAUCUCUAUAAGUAACACAUAUUAUACCUGAAGCAGCAUGGACAGCUGCUAUUAGCGGGCCGUAAUCACCUUGUUCGGGUAUGCAACAAGUCCCUUUACCAGCCCAGAACAGAUGAAUUUCAAGAUAAUUCUCUGACACGUUAACAUUAAAUUUUCUCACAAUUGCUCGGUUAACACCACCUGCCGCCGACGAUAUGUCCAAGUCCUUCGUCAUGCGGGUACCCUAGCAACCAAAUGAACAGGUAGGUGAUAAUUCUAGUCUCCUUUAAAUCAUUGUAGCUUAAAACAUAGAAAACCUGUCCAAUGAGUGUUUACUUCAAAUAAGUCAGAAUUUUUAUUCUAUAAGCAGCCUUACCUGAAUAUAGAUAUCAAAUACACGCCGUCCUAGACUUUGCCAUUUUUGCGAAGUGCGACUUUCAUAAACCGUCUCUGCAAAGUGCAAUGUUACAGUGUAAGGCCCAUUCUCAAGGCUCAGGCCAUAGUAUCUCAGUGAUCCUGGGGACACUCUUGAAGUCUGGAAAAGCUCCGGGGUCACAUCCGUUCCGGUGACUUGUGCAAGGGUAUUUUCCAGAAACGACGGGUCCUUUCUGUCAGAAAACAAACCGGCAUUGCUGACAGCCCAUUUCUCUGUACUAGUUACAUUGAAUGUUGCUGCGCCAAGAGCUGAGUCUUCAGUCUCAUACAAUAUGCCAUCACUUCCCGUCAUUUGUUUUCCACCACAGUUGAUUGAGAAGUUUGCAUCUGUAAAGUUUCAUGUAAUACCAGAAGCCAGCCAUGAUUAGCGAUGAAACGUCAAAUUGAAGACUCAUGCUAAUGUUCAUCAGUCACAUAUUUCUAACCAGUUAUGCGUAUUACUGAACUGAUGAAAACAUGCUUGCAAUCUAUAUCCAUAUGUAUACAUAACUAGAGAAGCAAUGCCUUUUCCUCUAACAUGACGAUGCGUUAAAAUAGUAAAUGAUUGAGAAGUUUGCAUCUGUAAGUUUCAUGUAUUACCAGAAUCUACCCAUGAUUAGCGAUGAAACUUCAAAUUGAAGACUCAUACUAAUGUUUUUCAGUCACAUAUUUCUGACCAGUUAUGCUUAUUUCUGAACUUAUGAAAACAUGCUGGCAAUCUAUAUCCAUAUGUAUACAUAACUAGAGAAGCAAUGCCUUCUCUAACAUGACGUUGAGUUAAAACAGUAAAUGUUGGGUGACAUAAAAGCAGAUUACAUCGUGGGGCAUUUCGAUUGCAUGGAAAAUUUCUCUGGAGGCAAUCCAAUCCAGGAAGACUGCAAACACAGAACAAUUAUUAGUUAUCCAAAUAGAAACAUGUAGUGGAAGAGUAGUGAUAGUAUUGCUUGUCUAAAAACAAGUAAGAGAAACUUCAACUCACGUUAUGUUUGAACUGUCAAAUGUGAAGUUGUUGACCACUAAGUUCCUGCAUAAAAUCAUUAAUCAAUCACCAUAUGAAGAAAUAUAUCUUUAUCAAAUGAAAAUUCCAUGUACAAGAUCAAAAAUUAGUAGGCAAGUAGCACUGUGAAAACGAAUCUCAACGAUAAUUUUUUGUCCGAACAUAUUCUGUUGAUUUAAACUGUAAAAUGAAGGUGAAAGAUAAAAGGACACGUACAGUUGCGAUAUUGUGGUCACCCACUGGGGAAAGCUUCCUGAUAAAAAAUUGUAAGACAAAUCUCUGCAAAUAACAAAAUAGAAUCAGAAGGCACAAAAUGCAUGAAAGUUAUUAAGAACUUGUGUAAGAUAGGAUUAGAAUGCUUACAAUUAUACACAAACACACACAUGCACCGUGCAUUCUAUAUGACUACUUUAAGAAAUGAGGACUUACAUAGUCUCAAGUUGAUUGCUCUUUUGGCUUGGAAGAGGUCCGGACAGACUAUUGUUUCCAAGAAACCUGGCCAUUUCGAUUAUAGCAGAAGGCACCCAGAAAAGAAAAAGAGAUGAACAAACAAAAGGUCAGAUGUGCACAAAAUCUAGAAGGAUUAGUCCAGAUAUUCAAUCAAAGUAGGGAAUGUUAAAGAUUUGAUAACUUAUGUAUGAUAAGGCAAGAAAAAGAUAAUAAUAAAGAUGGGGAUUACAAGGAUGUAAGAGAACUCAAGUUGAACAAAGAACUUGGGAGUUGGCCUGUCAAAUUGUUGAAACUCAGAUCCCUGCACACCAACGAUAAGUUGAGAGGAGGAAUCAGAAUGCAAGAAAACUAAUUGGUCUCGUUGGGACUCAAGCUUAUAUUUGCUGGUACGUACAGUGUCUGUAGACUUUGAUAUUCUCCAAUAUCAGAUGGGAUGGUACCAGUGAUUAAUGCGUUUCGCAGUUUUCUAUACUCCAAAAACAUAAAAUUUGAUAAAAGUAGAUGGAGUAAGAUAUCACAUUUCAAAAGGAAAAAGAAGUUAGAUGAAAGUAUCUUGAUCGAUGAGAAUCUUCACUUACAAUUCAGUCAAGCUUUUCAGAUUUUUUAUGAAAUCAAGAGAGGAGCUCCCAUUGUAUAUAUCACUGAUUCGCCUACAUCAUUAUAUGCAAAAUAAACUGAAAUCCUGUCUUCGGAGAAAGAGAGAGAAUUACAAUUUAUGAAACAUUUGUACUUACAGAGAGGUCAAUGAGGUCAGCUGAGAAAAGCUGGUUGGUAUUGGGCCUUCGAAAGAGUUCCCUUGAAAUCGCCUACAGAAACAUAUAAGAAGCUUGUCAACUAAGUAUCCAUCUCAGGUCUGCUUUCAUAAACUGCAUAAGAUCAAAAUUUUAUGUGGCUUACAAAGAAGUGAGUUGUGUCCAAUUCCCUAUGAAAUCAGGUGUCUUUCCUGAGAAAAGACUGUCCGAUGCCCAACUAAAAUUCAAAAAGUUGACUUAUAAUAAGCUCAUCCAAGAAAAGCAAUAUCAAAGUACUAGAUAAACGAACAAAUCUAAAAUACGAUUUAAGAGCCGUUCUUACAGGGUUUGCAUGUUGGUGAGCUUGGCGAAUGUUGAAGGAAUUUCACCACUGAGUCCACAGCUGUCCAUGUAACUGUGAAAAUCAUAAGGCAACUGAUUUGUUAGGAAUGUCGGUACUACAAGAUAGAGAAUGCACAAGGUAAAGUAGAAAAUGGACGCCAAGAAUUUAUGUGGUUCGGCAAUUUAUGCCUACGUCCACCAAACAAGGAAUCUUCACUAUAUGAAAAAAGAUGAAUACAACAAGAGUAGUCUUACCAAGCCAAAGACAAGGCUUGAUGGAUACAAGAAAGUAUAACACACACUUUCUAUCACUCUAAACUUCACUCACACAAUGUGUAGUGGAACACUCUCACUCUCACUCUUGGAGUGGAACUCUAGCUUUGGACUUGAUCCUUUGCUACUCACUCUUUCUUGAUUUGUUGUUUCACUACAACAUCACACCCAUAUUUAUAGGUGAGGGUUUGGCAUUCUACUAGUUUCUAGUGUAUUCUUCAAACCUCUAGCAUAGAAAGAUCUAGACUAGCCACAAAAGUGUGGCUUCUAGAUCUUUCCAUUUGCAACCAAGGAAGCUAGUACUCUCUAGCUUCUUCCAUCAACUUAAUAACAUGCUAGAAUUGUCUAGCAUGCUCCAGCCAUCUCUCUUGCUUACUAGAAUAAUCUAGAACAUUGAUCAUGGGCUGGACCAUAUACCAACAAUCUCCCCCUCCAGUCCAUGAGGAAGGAAUUCCGAUCAUGACUGCAAGUUACCUGGAGUCCAUCCCAGCAGCCUUAAUGCAGAAUUCCAACUUUGAUUUUGUGACCACCUUUGUCAACAUGUCUGAAGAAUUAUUAUCGGUAUGAAUCUUCUUCAGCUGUAGCAUCUUGUUCUCGAUAGCAUCUCUAAUCCAGUGAUAACGAAUAUCAAUGUGCUUGGUGCGUGAAUGGUAUGCAGUGUUUUUGCUCAAAUCCAGAGCACUCUGACUAUCACAAUAAACGCCAUAAUCACUUUGUUUCAAACCCAACUCUUGGAGAAACCGCUUCAGCCACAACAACUCCUUGCAUGCUUCUGUAGCGGCUAUGUAUUCAGCCUCGGUUGUAGACAAAGCAAUGCACUUUUGUAACUUGGAUUGCCAAGACACGACUCCCCCUGCAAAAGUAAACAAGUACCCAGACGUAGAUUUUCUACCAUCCAGGUCACCUCCCAUGUCAGCAUUUGUAAAUCCUUCCAAGAUUGGUUUGGAACCGCCAAAGCACAAGCACAUCUUAAAAGUCCCCUUCAAAUAUCUGAGAAUCCACUUAACAGCUUCCCAGUGGUCCUUCCCUGGAUUAGAGAGAAACCUGCUCACCACACCUACUGCAUGAGCAAUAUCUGGCCGUGUGCACACCAUUGCAUACAUGAUACUUCCUACUGCUGAAGAGUAGGGAACAACUGCCAUUUUCUCAUUUUCUUCAUAUGUUUUUGGACACGACUCUUUGCUCAACUUGAUAUGAUUGGCUAAAGGUGAGCUUACCGAUUUGGCUGUUUUCAUGUUGAACCUUUCAAGCACCCGUUCAACAUACUUUUCUUGUGACAGCCACAACUUCUUGGAUUUUCUGUCACGAAUUAUCUCCAUGCCCAAAAUCUGCUUGGCUGGCCCUAAGUCCUUCAUGUCAAAGGACUUAGAUAACUCUUUUCUUUGAGCUUUUUAAUCAUAAAAGCAUCUUGACCGACAAUCAACAUGUCAUCAACAUAAAGCAACAAAAUGAUGAAUUUACCUCCAGAAAAUUGUUUGAUAUAGACACAAGAGUCAGCAUGAGUUCUCUUGUACCCAUUACUCACCCAUGAAUGAGUUGAACUUCUUAUUCCACUGUCUCGGAGCCUGCUUAAGACCAUAUAAACUUUUCUUGAGCUUGCACACCAAAUUUUCUUUACCUUUGACUUCAAAGCCUUUGGGUUGCUCCAUGUAUAUCUCCUCUUCUAAAUUGCCGUGGAGAAAUGCAGUUUUAACAUCUAACUGCUCGAGCUCAAGAUCUAUGCUUGCUGCCAUACCAAGGAUAACUCGAAUGGAAGUCAUCUUCACCACCGGUGAGAAAAUCUCAUCAAAGUCAACUCCUUUCUUUUGACCAAAACCUUUGACAACCAAACGAGCCUUGUACCUUGUCAUGUUGUCGUCUCUUUUCAAUUUGAACACCCACUUGUUUUUCAAUGCUUUCCUGCCCUUUGGAAGCUCCACCAGCUCAUAGGUAUCAUUCUUUGAUAAGGAAUCCAUCUCCGACUCCAUUGCCUUCAUCCAUUUGUCACUGUCGUUAUGAGCUCUGGCCUCCUCAUAUGUUUCGGGCUCUCCAUAAUUAGUCAACAUGAUAUACUCUGAUGAAGAAUACUUGGUAGACGGUCUUCGACUUCUGAUGGAUCUUCUGACCUGAUCUUCAUUCUCUUGUAGGGCUGGAGGCUCCCCCUGAUUGGGUUCUCCUUGAAUCUGCUCUUCUUGACUAGGCUCCCCCUGAUCAGCAAUCUCAUGGUCUGGCACAUCUUGAUCAGGCUCCUCUUGAUUAGCAUUAUCUGAUUCUGCAGGCACUUCAUUGGCAGUUGCUUCAGGGAUGUCAUCGUGACUUUCUUCAUCUGAAGCUAAUGGAUCAACUCCUCUGACUGCGCCAUCUGGUUGUGCCUCUUUAUCCGAAUCCCCAAUUGUUUGUUCUUCAUAAAAGACCACGUCUCUACUUCGGAUAAACUUCUUCUGGUAUGGGUCCCAUAAUCUGUAACCAAAAUCUUCACCGCCAUAACCAAGAAAGAUGCACGGUGUAGCUUUGUAGUCUAACUUCGAUCUCUGCUCUUUGGGCACAUGCACAAAAGCUUUGCAGCCAAACACCUUCAGAUGAGAGUAAGACACAUCAUUACCAGUCCAUACUCUCUCUGGAACAUCAAGACCUAAUGGUACUGAUGGAGAUCGGUUGAUCAAAUAGCAGGCUGUCCUUACAGCUUCACCCCAGAACUGCUUAGAUAACUUUGCAGUCCUCAACAUACACCUGACUUUCUCCAUGAUGGUUCGGUUCAUUCUUUUCAGCAACACCGUUAUGUUGUGGAGUUCCAGGAACUGUCUUCUCAUGACGUAUGCCAUGUUUUACACAAUACUCUCUAAACUGGUGAGAUGUGUACUCGCCGCCGUUGUCGCUACGAAGGCACUUGAGAGGUUUCCCAGUUUCCCUCUCCACCAUGGCAUGGAACUCCUGGAAUGUCUGAAACACCUGGUCUUUGGAUUUCAACAAAUACACCCACACCCUUCGUGAAGCAUCAUCAAUAUAAGUAACAAAAUAUUUAUUUCUUCCAAGUGACUCGACUUCCAUGGGACCACACACAUCUGAAUAAACAAGAUCUAACAAGUUUCCUUUCUUUGUAGAUGGAACAGAAAAAACUAACUCUUCUUUUGUUUUCCGAAUAAACAAUGCUCACAAGAGUUUAACGACGUACCUUCGGUAAAGGGAAUGUGAGACUUAUUUGCCAAAACUUGUAGGCCUUUCUCGCUUAUGUGGCCUAGCCUCUUUAUGCCAUAAGUCUAGAGAUGAGUCCUCCACAGCAUUCAACUCACCUUUCAAAACCUUGGCAUUUGACCGGUACAACGUACAACAAAGUCGUGCUCUUGCUACCACCAUUAAGCCUUUAGUAAGCUUCAAUUUUCCUUCGCCAAUAUGGUGAUAAUAUCCUUGUCGAUCAAGGGUACCGAUGGAUAUCAGAUUGAGACGUAUAUCAGGAAUAUGUCUCACAUCUUUCAACAUCAAUUGGCAGCCGAGAUUAGUUCUUAGACAUAUAUCACCAAUUCCAAGAAUUUUGGAAUAGCUUUCAUUCCCCAUCUUCACUAUGCCAAAGUCACCUUCUUUGUAUGUACUGAAGAACUCCCGUUUGGACGUAGCAUGGAAGGAAGCUCCAUUGUCAAAGAUCCAUUCAAUGUCUCUGUCAGAGUUGCCCAUAUGCAGACAUUCACCAACAGACAAUAUUUCUGGUACAUCACCACAUAUGACAGCAGUGGUAUUGCCAGUAUCAUCUUUCUUCUGAUUGUUUCCUUCCCUUUGCUCUCUCUUCCAAACUCGACAAUUUUUCUUCAUAUGGCCUUCUUUGCCACAGUGGUGGCAUGCACCCCUGAACUUUGACUUGGAUCGGCUAGGACUCCUGCCAUGACCUCUAGGCCCUCUACUUUUGCUUCUUCCGCGGUUCUCUGUGACAAAUACUUGGCUGCUAUCUGUGCCAGAAGUCUUUCUCCUUGUUUCUUCAUUGAGCAUGCUAUUUUUAACAUUAUCAAGAGUAAGAAACACCAUUAGAAGCAGAGUUACUUAUACUCACCACAAAGGUCUCCCAACUGUCUGGCAAGGAUCCAAGUAACAAGAGCGCUUGUAGCUCGUCCUCGAUCGUCAUUUUCAUAUAGUAGCCAACUGGUUGAUGAUAUUCUGGAAAUUGUUCAAGUGUUCUGCUACACUUAAACCAUCCUUGUACUUCACAUUGAUGAGCUCUUUGAUCAAGAAGGCUUUCUUGGCUGGGGUCUUCUUCUCGAACAAGGACUCAAGCUUCGUCCAAAACUCGCGAGCAUUGGUUUCAUUAGACACAUGGUGAAAAACACUAUCAUCCACCCAUUGUCUAAUUGUGCCAAUAGCCUUGCGAUUCAUCUUCUUCCACUCGGCAUCGGACAUGCUCUCGGGCUUAGCGGCAUCUCCUUCAAUUGGCUCAUGCAAAUCCUUGCAAUAGAGAAUGUCCUCCAUCCUUGGCUUCCAUGUUACCCAAUUGGAGUUGGUGAGUUUGAUCAUAGUGCCACUUCCUUCCAUCUCGUAGUACGAGCCAACCGGGCUCUGAUACCACUUGUUAGGAAUGUCGGUACUACAAGAUAGAGAAUGCACAAGGUAAAGUAGAAAAUGGACGCCAAGAAUUUAUGUGGUUCGGCAAUUUAUGCCUACGUCCACCAAACAAGGAAUCUUCACUAUAUGAAAAAAGAUGAAUACAACAAGAGUAGUCUUACCAAGCCAAAGACAAGGCUUGAUGGAUACAAGAAAGUAUAACACACACUUUCUAUCACUCUAAACUUCACUCACACAAUGUGUAGUGGAACACUCUCACUCUCACUCUUGGAGUGGAACUCUAGCUUUGGACUUAAUCCUUUGCUACUCACUCUUUCUUGAUUUGUUGUUUCACUACAACAUCACACCCAUAUUUAUAGGUGAGGGUUUGGCAUUCUACUAGUUUCUAGUGUAUUCUUCAAACCUCUAGCAUAGAAAGAUCUAGACUAGCCACAAAAGUGUGGCUUCUAGAUCUUUCCAUUUGCAACCAAGGAAGCUAGUACUCUCUAGCUUCUUCCAUCAACUUAAUAACAUGCUAGAAUUGUCUAGCAUGCUCCAGCCAUCUCUCUUGCUUACUAGAAUAAUCUAGAACAUUGAUCAUGGGCUGGACCAUAUACCAACAUGAUUAAUACCCAUUUCAUACGAUAAAGUGCAAUUUUUGCUCAUCCGUAACGAAUUAACAUGUAAUUCAAAUUUGAUGAUUUAACGAAGCACUUACAUUUGCUCGAGCUUGACUAAAUUACCAAGUUCUGGAGGGAGUGUUCCGGAGAAAUUAUUUGAUCCGAUGCCCCUGCAAGUCAUGUUGAAUAGGCAAACACUUACUUGAAAGCAAUUAUUGAAGAGUGAUAGAAGGUUCUGUAUCUAAUGUUUACGACACAAAAUUUUAUUGUAUGCUCUCUCAUUUUUAUGGCUUACAGCAGAGUUAGCUCCGUAAGGUUUCCAAGCUCCUUGGGGAUGGGUCCAGAGAAUGAAUUGAUGCCAACUGACCUGAAUGGAGAUAUCAGUUAGUGAAAGAUAAGCAUCAUUAAACUUAAUUACAUACAUAACAGGAAACUAGUACUGCAUUAUUCAAUAAAAGCAUAAUGAUUUUUUGUAGAUUACGGCACAAAAAGUAGCGAAAAGGUGUAAAGAACAUAACUGUAGAUUAUGAUAUUCAAAAUGAAGUACAAAUUGCUACGGGUCUCAUCAGAAGUAUGAGUACUUAAAGAAAUGUUCUCUCACUACUUACAAUUCAGUCAAUGCAGACAUAUUGCCAAUGAAUGCUGGUAGGGGACCGGUGAAAUAAUUCUGAUCGAUUUUCCUACAAAAAUUGAAAGGAAGUAUAAUUGUUAACUCUUAAUCUUAUAACAUCACCAUAUUUUUGUUGAAAUCUCACAUCAGCUAGAGAAAUAAAGAAAGAAGAGUUUAAAUAUCCAAAUCUCAUUCCAACUAAUACCGAGACCUUUUGGAAUAAACCUCACACUUAACGGAUUGUGCAAGUGGUACCAAGUUAGGGACAAUAUCUGUGUUGUUGGAAGUGAGCCUUUUGCUCGUCUCUCCGAUAAUUCUACAAUUUUUGAUAUCCAAUAUAUGAUUUUGAUGAACCAAAAACAGAGAAGGGAGUUGGAAAAAAUUCAUACAAAGAUGUGAGAUAUCUCAGAGCCACAAAUUCUUCUGGAAACACCCCUCGUUUGUUCAGAGCAUACACUCUCCUGGAAAGCAAAAAGAUUGAACAUUUAGAACUACAUAAAAUGGAGCGACACAGUCAAAUUAUGACGUUAAAAUAUAUAGGUAGCAAGUGAAAAAUCAGCAGUGGCAUGGAAAUCUUGUUCAUAAAGAGUAGUUUAACAUACAGUUUGGUGAUGUGGCAUGUAGCAUUGUUGUCGUAAGAACAGUCGCAAACGAUGGCUGGGUUGUUACUGGGGUCCCCAAAGUCGGUGCCGUUGAUGGCAGAUCCACUGCAGGGUUCUCCACUGAUAUUCCACAGCCCCGGCACUGCUUGUGUGUCCCAUUGUUCAAAUAUUGAGUUCAACGCCCUCACUGCACUCUCAGUUAAUUCAGUCCUUGUGUGUAUUAGAUUAUAUCACACCAUAAUUUGAUUUGUGUUACCACUUACCAGACUAUCUCGAACCAAACGAAAGAUCAAAUUGAUUAUUACAAAGGAAAAUUACCCUUAAUUUUUGGAUGUUUUGUAUAUGGGAUGAAAAAGGGCCUUACAAUAAUUUCUUCGAAACUUCGUUUCAUAUAGUCGAAAAACACUUAAAAUGUCAAUUUGUUGAGGGAAAAAAAAGCCCAGUUCCUGGUCAGAAACACUUAAAUGUGGCAAAGUGUGUGUGUAGGGAGAGAGAGAGAGAGAGAGAGAGAGAACCUUCAGAUGGAUCGGUGGUAGCAUUUUGAGCAAAUGACAGCUGAAACCAGAAGUAGCUGAGGAAGUAGAGUAAUAGUAUCCUCAUCAUCAACUUCAUCUUCAUAUUGUACAUGUGCAGAACUUGCUCUCCUCGACGGCGUGAAUUUAAACGACCAACACUUACAUUCCGACUGGCUGAAUCAUGCACCGCAUGUAAGUAGAAGAAGACCAUUAGAUUUUAGUCAUAUAUUGACAACAUAUACAUAUAUAAUAUAUUUUGUCCAAGUUGCAUGAUCAAAUGGCGGCCACUUUAAUAAUUUCCCACCUGGAGUAGGCCAAGACUUUGAUCAUAUUAGUUGAAUUGUAUACUGUAAUAUUACACAUUGAGCUGCUUUAGUAUUGAAAUAUUUAUGUACAAUUUUAGAUUGUUAAUAUUUUUGUGGUUGAAAAAUCAAGGAAUUGACUUAUGGAUUUACAUUCUUGCUCAGUUGGUAAUUAUGGAGAGGGAUUUUUCUGGAUAGCGAAAGAACAAAGGAUUAAUUCUUUGUUAGUUGGUGAUUUUGAUAUGACAUCAACCGAGGAUGUCAUUGUGACAAUUCUUAAGCUAAUCACAUUAUUAUGUUUGACAAAACACAUGACACACUAUUUGAUUAGUUUUUUAUUUCUUUCUAAAAAGAUAGGCAACUAAUGACAAACCACGAUUAUUCACCUUUUUUGGGCUAGAAAUAGGCUAAUUAGAAAUUGUACACACAUUACAAAGUAUCGAACUCAGGAUUUUCACAAUUAGCUUAAAAUAUUGCUAAAAUUGCAUGUAUGUUGUUAGUUUGUCCAGUAAAAGAAUAAUAUUUCAUUCAUAAUUUUACGUAUAAAUAAAACGAUAAAAUGAAUUUUUGAUAAGUGGACAUGGAUUUUUUCAAAGAAAAACAAAGGUGGGAUUUUCAAAAAAAAAAGAAAAGAAAAAUCUCUGGUGGAAUUUUCAAAAGUUGUGGCUGAAUUGAAAAUUCAAUCGGGAUGAAAAUAUCUGCAAGUUGAGUUGAAUGGAAAAGGAUAUUUGCCGGAUCAUUUUCUUGAAAAUGCGGAAGAUCUUGUGAUUGUAUCUGUUUAUCGUACCUCGUGCGAUAAGUUUUUGUUAAAUAUUAUUUAUAUUUAAUUUUAAAUUUUAAAUUUUAAAUAAUUUCUGACCGCAUAAUGUACGAUUAACAGACAUGAUCGUAAUAUCUUUCGGAUCCCCAGAAGAAGAAUCCGGGAUCCUUUUCCGAAUUGAAUGAUGCAGCCAGAAAAGUCAAAAGAGGAUAUGUCUGGAUGGAUUAGAAUCAUCUCCGGAACAAUUACAUCCGUCCUAAUCCGUUUUUGAUUGAUGACAGAAAGUCAAACUGCCACGUAUGAACCCAUCACCAUCCCACCCACCUUGGCUUAAUUAUUCUGAUGCCUUGUUCUUAAAACAAAAGGAGGUAGGCGAUGAAUUGCUGUACUGACGUUAUAAUGGAAGGGGUGUGCUAUCCACACACUCAUUUUUAUUUCUCACACACCUCUUGUUAAUUUUAUUUCUGUUAAUCUUCUUUAUUUCAUCUGAUCCGACGGCCGAAAAUUAAAAGAGAUGUGAGGAGUAAAAAAGGGUGUAUGGAUAUUACACCCUUAAUGGAAUCGGUAUUUAAUUAAUCAUUUUAUUGGCAUUAAUUAUGUACUUAAUUAAAAGUAUGUAUAACUUAGUUGAUGCAAUGAACUAUCAUAGGAUUAUACUUUUAGUCCAAAAAGACCGCUCAAACCGAUAGGACUAUACGCUUUAAUGAGAGUUGGAAGAGAACAUCUAACGUAUGUAGUAUUAUCCUAAUUUUAUAAAGAAAUUAUUUCUAGGACUUAAACUUGUGAUUUUUUUGGAUCACAAAUGAACAACAUUUCCAUUACGCCAAAAUUCACCUUCAAUUGUAGCUUUAAUCUAUAAACAAAAUAUGGAACACUGGUUAUUGACGCUAAUUCCUUGAGGAUUCUGAUUAAAAGGACCAUAUGGGCAAUUCACUAAUUUACUGUUCUUAAAGGUACUCCUCGGAUUUUGGCCAAAAAUUCUUAUAGAGUUAGCGUGAAGGACUAAUGUUUCACAUUUAUCGAACUCAUAAACUACUUUUAAUAGAUCCUUAAUUUGUAGACUAAAAUUACAAUUUAGUCAUAAUUCACCAACCAAUACUGUGAUUUUCUCCUUUAUAAUGUUUGGGGAAAAUACUGUUCAUAUCAAUUAUCAAAGACUCAUACUCAUCCUCGCAAUCGUAUCAAUAAGUAAAGGGUAAUGCUAUUUUGCUAUUUAUUUUCUUUAAUUCAUUUUAUCCGAAGAUAAGAAAUUAAGAAAAAUGUAUAAAAAGUAAAAAUAAGUAUGUGAAUAGCAUCAUCUUAAAUUUAUCUCUCUUAGCAUAAAAUAAAAGAAAAACUAAUGAAAAGAACUUGAAAACUUUGAGUUUUAAUCAAAAUGACAAAAAGGCAAAAAGAUGUUGUAAGUGAAUAGUACUAGAAGUGACUUUUUUAGAGUAAAAAUGUCAUUUUUUGUUAAAGUAAACAGUACUAAAAGUGUUUUGUUAAAACAUAGUAAAAUAAAACUUAUAGUUUUUAUUAACCAAUUAGACAAAUUGGGUAGGAAAAGGAAGGAAUACACAUAUUCUGCCAAGUUACAUUGGUGUAAAAACACGUAGCUUGCACAUGCAGUACGAUCAAGUUGCGGCCCAAGUUGAUGAGUUUUCCAUAAAGUUAAAUGAGUUUGAUCAUGGAUAAUAUAUUAAAUAUAUAAAGAAUUAUUAAAUAUUGCCAAACAACAGCAGUGUUUUAAAUUUUUUUAAACUAAGCAAACAGACAGGGAAAUGUAAAAAUUAAGUUCCUAUAUUUAUUUUUCCUACUUUAUUAAUUAAAAUUUUAUUAAUUUUUAAUUUUUAAUCAAAAUUCUUAAAUUUUAAUAAAUGUUAUUAAUUAUUUUAAACGUUACAUUUGGUAUAUUUGUGCCCAUGCUAAUUAUAUGUAUUUAUUUUAUGUUUUAAAAUAUAUCAAGAGUUAUUUUUCAAAAUAUGUUAAUAAUUAUGUGGGUACAUUAUUUUUUGCUAUAAUUUUUGUGAAGAACAAUAUUACUCUAAAAAAAAAUUUUAAGUAUAUUUUAAAAAUAUUAUUUAAAUUUGUUUAAAUUUCAUAAUUUGUGGAACAUUAAAUACAUAAAGACAUGAAUUAAAUCUCUUAAACGAUGCUAAGAUUUCGAUCAAAUUAUUUAAACAAAUAAAAUUUUAGCCUAACAAUUAGGUUGAUUAGGGACCACAGCCAAAAUGACGAUAGGAAAAUAUACUGCUUUUGAAUGCAUCUGUUGGCUACAGUUGAGGAUGAACUUUUAACAUUUCGAAAGAGAAAGAUUAGCGGUUGAUCUCCUGUAUUUUAUAUGUGCAUAUCAUAUGAAGAGAGAGAGAAAGAGAGAGAGAGAGAGAGAGAUAUACCCGUCCUGCUGUUGAAGCAGAAGAUGGAGGAGCUGAAGCAGAAGCAAGCAGCAAACUGGUGGGAAGAUAUCAGAGAUGGUGGCUUCUUCGCCCACUAGCUCUGAAAAUUCAUCCCCUCUCCUCUCUCUUUAUCCUAGUAUGAGUGUGUAUGAGAAUGAAAAGGACAAUUCCCACUUACAUAAACCAAAAUAUAUACGGACAAGGAUUGUCUGCUCUCUACUUCCGGUGCUUUCUUCGUAUCUUCCUGUUUUGUGUGAUCACGGUUAAAUCACGUCAAUAUUUUAUAUUUUUUUUAUAAAUAUAAUAAAACAAAAAUGAAUAGUAAUAUAAAAUAUUGACGUGUCUUAACUAUGACCACACAAAUAAAAGAGCACGAAGAAAACACCGGAAAUAGAGAACAGACAAUCCUUGUCCAAUGUAUAUGGCCUCAUGGGAGUAGUAUAUAUAAUUAUAUAUAGUGGCAUGAUUAGUCUUUAGCCAAUGUCAGUCUCUGUAUUCUUCAAACCAGCAAUUUCUUUAUUCAACAACUAGAAUAAUUAAAAUGUAGAAACACGAAAUGUAAUAUGAUAUUUAUGCAUUUUAUUAUUGGUUUGAUCUCUAUGAAUUCUCUUUUUCCUAACAAUUAACAACUUAAUUCAAUAAUGUUAUUAUUUAUUAAAAAGGAAAAAAAAAUGAAGUAAUUAACUUUUUUUUUUCAUAUUUUUAACUAGAUGUAAAAGCUAUUAAACCUUAGAACCUAAACAAGUUCCUGCCCUCUAAUCCAAAUUUUCCUUCACUUUGUUGAGAUUCUGCUAAUUUCAUUUAGCCUUUCAUGUUUCUCUUUAAAAAAAAAAUCGUAACUUUGCACCUUUAACUCAAUUUUCCUUCAUUUCGUCGAGAUUCUACUAAUUCGUAAAAAAUGAACGGAAUACGUGACAUGGUAUACAUUUUGUUUAUGUGCAUCCGUUAAAGCUAAACAUCUUAUGGUUCAUUAACUUUAAUCAAAUUUGAGCAAUAAUCCAUUAACUAAAAAUUCAUUAUCAUUAGUCCCGCAACUCAUCAAAACGUAUAGUUAUGAUCAUUUUCGUUAACUUCGUGAGAAUUUUGUCAAAAUGAGUUAUGUUGGAAGGAUCAUUGUUACAAUUGAGAUCCCUCAACUCAUCAAAACUUCUAGCUAUGAUUUUUUCGUCAACUUCGUUAGAAUUUUGUUAAAAUGAGUUAUGUUUGAAUGAUCAUUGCUACAAUUGGGUUAAAGUUGAGGGAUUAUUGUUCCAAUUGAGUUAAAGUUAAGGGAUCAUUUUUCCAGUUAGAUUAAAGUUGAGGGAUCAUUUUUCCAGUUAGAUUAAAGUUGAGGGGCCAAGGGUAAUAAAUUUUUAGUUGAGGGAACAUAGCUGUACGUUUUGAUGAGUUAAAAGAUUAAUGAUAAUAAAUUUUUAAUUUAAGGACCAUUAUUCUAAUUGAAUUAAAGUUAAAAAAUAUUACUACAACUUAGACACAUAAAAAAAAAUCAUAUUAUAAAAUAACAUAUAUAAAGUUUCGCUUCGUAUUUUGAGCACAUUGAAAUCUCUAUAGCGAAAGAGUGAGUUGCUAGCUAUUGAAAUUCCCUAAGGUAUUGGUAAUUGUGUUUAAUUAAAAGAUAAAAAAAAAUUAAAUAAUUUUAUUGUCAAUUGAAUGAGUUGGUAUGCCAAACUUCAAUUUUGACCUCUCUUUGCUGUUUCAUUUAUUGGUCAAAACACCCCUCUUCCACAUCUCAUGCCUAUCUUCGGUCUCACUCGCGAGCAUAUCUGCAGUACUGACUCAGGGAAAGGACGCAGCUGACAACCCUCAAGGUUCAGAUCUCUCUGUUAUAGCUUUCUGUAAUUAAUUAAUUCAAUUAAGAGCUCUGUUUCUCCGUCUUUUUUUUUUAAUUUUUUUUAUCAGAUUAUCCCUGAUUUAUGCGUCUGUUUCUGAAUUUGUGAAUAACAUGGGAAUUUGUGUAAACUGCUCCUGAAUUUGUGAAGAAUAUGGGUGUUUUGGUUCUCAGAAAAUAUUUGUGAAAUUUUGGUUUAUGUUUCCGUCUCUGGGUUGAUCUGUUUGUAUUCAAGUUCUCAUUUUUUUCCCCCUCCAUGGAUGUAAUUUAAGGGUGUACUGCUUGAUUCCCGGGAAACUUUGGAAGGAAAAUGAUAGAAAUUGCAAUGCAACAUAUACACCAACUCUUUCUAUUUGUGAAUUUCUGUGUGUUUGGUUAGAACCUAAGGCCUCGUUUGGUCUCUAGGAUCGGAUUGGAAUGGUUGAAAUAACAAUGAAUCGUAUAAUUUUUCUUAUUAGUAAAUUGAUUUCUCAAUUUGGUAUGAUUGAGAUCUUCUCAUGCUGUAAUAUCAUAAAGGGUGACCCCAAGCCAACAAGGCUCUAAGGAGCGACCUUUCUGUUGCGCUAAGGCUCGCCCUCGCUCUAGUAAUGCCGUAGAAUAUGGAUAACUUGUUCCCUUAUGAUCUUUUUAAGUUUUUUUCCCAGAGUUGCAUAAUUUUGAUCAAGAACUAUUAUUUUUGUUGGGAUUGAGACCCAAAAAAAAUCCUUUUGCAGAUUAAAAUUCCGAAAGAAACUCUCGUAGGCAUCAAAUCGGCAACAGAAGUACGAAUUGAAGGCGGUAGUUGAAAUGAAGAAAGAAGGAGCCGAGGAAACAAGCAUGGAGAUAGUGAAGAAGUUUUUGGAGAAAGAAGGUGAAAUGGCAAUCGCCAUGGAUAGUCUGCCCGACAGGUUCUUUGAGCCCUUCAUCCUGAAAGGCAUUAACGUCGAUCUCCUUGAACCCGGACACAUUGUUUGCUCCUUCAAAGUACCCCCGCGUUUGGUGAACGGGGGCAAUUUCUUGCACGGUGGAGCCACAGCAACCCUUGUGGAUUUGAUAGGAUCAGCUGCAAUCCUCUCCUCUGGAGCUCUCAGUUCCGGAGUUUCGGUGGAGAUCAAUGUGUCGUACUUGGAUUCGGCUUAUCCUGGCGAGGAAGUUGAGGUCGAGUCCAGGACGUUACGUGUUGGGAAGACUGUUGGUGUUGCCAGUGUUGAGAUCAGGAAGAAGAAGACUGGGAAGAUUAUUGCUCAGGGCCGUCAUACCAAGUACCUUGCUGUUUCUAGCAAACUCUGAACAGCUAGGAAAUUGAACCAAGGCAUACUGUUCAGUCAGUGUUAAGAUUUUUCGACAUCGAAUAAUUUUUUCUGGAGUGAAUUGUAAUACAAGCAAUGCUCAGUCAAAUUCUCCGUGACUGAUACAAAUAGUUAAGAACAAUACAAUAUUUCACCAAAAGUUGUCGAAAACCAGAACAUUUAACUGCUUAAGCUUUUAGAUAAUAACAUGAUCCAAUCCUCAAAAUUGUAUUGCUCAAAUUUGUAUUCCUCAGACUGAUACAAUUGUUAAGAACCAGUAAAUGCUUAUAAAAAAUUCUCAAAAAACAGAACAGAUAAUCAGUUAACCAUUCGAUCACAACAUUCACUGAAUCACGAAAAGUUAACCGAAAUCAAGAAAACAACAUUGACCAUUUGAGUCACAAUUCGUCAAAAUCAUAUCCAUCGUCGUUAUUAUAUCCCUCAUCGUAAUUGUAUACUUCAUCAUAAUUGCAUCCAUUAUAUUCGUCGUUUGCAACAUGUGUAUCAUCGUCAUAGCCUUCUCCGGCUUCAGCCUCUUCACUGUACGUAUUUUCAUGUUCGAGCUCCUCAUCAGGACUAACUUCAAAAUGAAUCUUUUUCUGAUUUGACAGCUGUUUACCACUGCCGCAAUUAGACUCUUUGCGUUCUUCAAAUCCAGGUCCCUGAAAAACAGACGGAGAAAAAGGUCAGAUUAAGCAAAUUCAGGAUACAUUGACAAGUUCUGGCCGUUGCUCGUAAAAACAGACAUUCUAAAACCUCUUAGGAUUCAUAACUAGGAAUUACAUUGCAAAAUUAUUAUAUAUGGCCAAAAAAUUAUUAACCAUAUAACGAGAUAUAACACUUCCUAUUUCCUAAAGUCUUCUAUUAGCUGCUCGAUUAGCAAACAACCUGUAUAAAGAUCAUGGUUUCACAUAUUUAGGUUUUAUCCUGCCAUAGCUUGUACAACUUCGAUAGACCUUUAUUCCAUCAUACAAAAAUUGGUGUCUGCCGACUGACCAGAAAUAAACGAGUAACAUGUGACGACUGUCAAAGUUUGACAUACUAUUAGUCUACCAGGUUUGUUUGGUUUUUUUUAGUCUUUUGCAAUCUGCAUUAGGUUCACAGGCAACGAGACAUAUAAUGUUUGACAACAUAAUAUGCAAAUUGCAGAGCUAUGAGUGAAGCAAGAAUGAUUCUAAAAUAAGCCGGUGAAAAGAUACUUACAAGUUUCUAUUUUUGAAAUAAGCCGCAUGUGAAAAGAUACUUACAAGCUUUUCAUUCAAAAGCUCAAAGCAUGAAAGUUUUUGAACUCAGCCUCUGCAAGUAAAAAAGAAUACUAAGCCAAGUCUUUUAUCUGCAUUAUCACAGGCAAGACAAUAAUGUUGAUGAAUUAAGCUAUAUGAAGCAAGAAUGAUUCUAAAAUAAGCCGGUGAAAAGAUACUUCCAAGCUUUUCAUUUAAUUUCUUCAAAGCAUCAAAGUCGAUUUUUGAACUCAGCCUCUGCAAGAAAAAAGAAUGCCAUGUAAAUAAUUGUUGGAUAAGAUAUAAGUUGCAUCAGCUAAUUCCCUUACCUCCUUGUUAUUUAUCAGCUAAUUCCCUUACCUCUGGAGGAAUAAUACUUAAACGAAGCAUAUCCAUCAGCUAAUUCCCUAACGUCCUUGUUAUUUAUCACAGUAGAAACUUUGGCGGUUUUUUCUGCAGGUGCAGCUUUCUUGGCUUUUCUGGCUCGUUUUCUACUCUUUCCCUGCCAAAUUUAUCCAUUGUAUGUAGAAAAUUAGAAAUCGAUAAGUAAGGCACAAUGCUGGCAGUAAAACAAAGACAGAUAAACGAAAGGGAAAAACUAAAAAAUAAAUCACAUGCAGAUAAGAUAAAAAAAUAUUAAAAAAGUUAACCAUCACCCAAUACUAAUUUGUAAGCAGGUGUGACUCCAAUAACAGUUGAGAAUUUAGGCACAAACAACGAAGAAUGGUGAAUAAGCUGAAUGAAUCUUCCGAGCAUACACUUUAGAGAACAAUGCACACAUGACAGUCUAGAAAAAUGCAAAGAUAAACUCAAAUGAAGUAAAUAUUGGGAUAAACCACAUAGCUAAGCUAGCCAUAUCCCAUAAUAUAAUGAAUAAAUUCAAGGUUUUGGUUAGAAGGUCCUACUUUGAAAGGAAUGAUUUUACUGCAACGAAAUGCAUAAAAAGUGAAAGCAAGACACCAGUUCCAAGACAUGUCCUCUAUCAUAACUGAAAUUGCCUAUUUAGUGGGGCUUAAGGACUCAGAAUUUGUUGUUUUAUGUGCCUAGGAUCUUAAAAGAAGUAUUCUUCGUAGAUUAGCCAUAGUUUCAAAGACUAGGACUAAAAACAAGUUAAUUGUCUGGAAGACAAAGGGUUUGUUGCAAAUUUCAGUUAGCAGCAGGCUUUUUGAAUUUGGGGGCUAAAAGUUAGAGAAACCAGAAAGAAAAAACAGGUCAAAGAUUAGGGCUUUUGAAUCAAGUACGAAAAGAGAGAGAGUACAAAAGUUCUAGAAAGAGAGAGUUGAGUUAAGAACUUCCAAAAAAUCACUGAGAUAACGAGUAAAGGAAGAAUGAAGAGGCAAAGAGUGGAAGGAAGAAAACCAGAAACCCAUACAAGGAAAAUGUAUACUAGUAUGGUCAUGAUCAAAUGCAAAAUCCCCUCAAUUGUUCACUCUAAACAGUCGUGGCCAUAAAAAAACAUAGACGAAAAAUAAGAACAAAACCAUCGAAUAAACAGAAACUACGAAAUUGCCUAACAUUGCACCAAAUCCUUGUGAAAACAAAUGUGUCAAAACUUAUAGACUUGCAAAGGCAUUACCUGAUCGUAGUCCUUGUUAAGUACUUCCCAAAUUAAUCUUUUAAACAGUGCCGCCUCCUUGCUGUUAAGGUAUCCAGCAACCUAAAAAACAGAAGCAUGAGUUCUUCCAUAUCGAAAUUCACAAACGAAAAAUAGAAGCAACAAUCACAUACGAAUCCAAAUCGCUAUACGGACUACCAAGUGGGCUAUGAUGGAAGUGUUCUCUGAUGGGCAGGUGGGUGUAACUUUCAGGAUCUCUGCCUUUGUGUUUGAUUAAAUUUAUCCCCUUAAUCAUCAGACAUGGAAAAUGUGGUCGAUUGUCAUGAACCAAGAACUGAACUUUUCACAAUAACUAUGAAAUAAAAUUCCAACAACGUCGCAUGCAAACUAAAAAUUCUUAUUAUCAUCGAAAUAUUUGAGCACCUACCUUAAAUUCAUCAACUUAUGGAGAAUGGGCAGACACCAUUCGACGAAAACAAUUCAGAAAAUUGAAAAAAAAUAAUAAGAAAGCAAUGCCUGCUUUAUCAGCAUACCUCGGAGUCGUCGAUAUCUGAGAGGCUUUCUGAGACAUCGCCAUCCGCAGUUGACAUUGCAGCUUGCCGCCUUCUUUUGUAAACUCUGGGUUCUUUUGAAUUUUAUGUAAUUUUAGGUCUUGGGUUUUCCAGUAUUCAUGGAACUUGAAUUUAUAUCGACAGUAAUGUCGGCGACCAAACAAGAACCGACCUAGUUCGGUUUCCCUUUUAGUAUCAAAUCAGUCCAGAUUUGGUUCUGAUUUUUUAAGUUAAACGCGUUAACAAGUUAAAUGUUAAAUUUGAUUUCUAUUUUUUACUGUUUAUUUUGAUGCCAUGAUCUGUUGAUCAAUACAGAAAUUUUAUUUUUUUAAACAUCCUUUUUAUGAGUAAAAUGUAAGUGAAAAAGAUAAUAAAAGCCCAAAAUCUAAAGGGCUAGGCCCAAAAUAGUAGGGGAAUUUAAUCAAGAAACCAGAAAAACUCAGCCCAAUCUGAAAACCAUGUGGUUUUUUUUUGGGUGAACAAAACCAUGUGGCAAGCACAAACGCCAUGCAUUACAUCUUACAUUGUAGAAACGUAUUCCUACUGCUGGAACCAAAUUCGCGCACAAUCAUUGGUAUACGAAUAAUCGUUGGAAUCUCAUGAACACCGAUAAAUAGAAGAAUUGUUUGGAGUAUAUAACUGAAUUCGAAAAUGAUUGCCUACAUAUCUCCUCGUCAAAGAGGAAGAAUCAAAUCACGAGCAGUUCUGCGUUGUAUGAGCAUGUAUGCGUUAGAUGAGAUAUCAGAUAUACGUUAUAUCUCCUUGGAGUGAAUCCUAACUUGAAUAUUUAUAGAUGAUAUCUUUCAACUCUUUGUCUUGCUUUGCAUGAAUGCUUAUGCAUAUGUAAAGCGACAUAUCAAAGCCAAUAUUCUCGAGCUAUAAUCAUGCAAAUAUAAAGUAUAAAACAAUAAUUCAUUUAGCAAUCAAACACCUAAAGCGUCAUUCACAUCAAAUAAAAUGAUAUGAGCAAUAAUUAAAGCUAAGUAGGUAAAAGAUCAUCUUACCAUUAUGUUGUUCUCCUUAAAAUUUCAUUAUUUCAAUUUGAACUCUUUUGUAUAUGUUUCUCCAUACAUUAGUUCUUGUUCUUUAUUUUUAGUGUGGAUCAGAUUCAAAACUCUUUUUCCCACACCAACUCACUUUUUUUUUCUCAUUAACCGACUCCCUCUCACCACUUUCUUUCUUUUCAACUCUCUCCCAACCUUCCAAAACCUCAUUAUUUUCCUUCUCUUCUUCCAGUUCUUUCCCUUCCAGUAGGCUAUUCUCACACCUUCACUUCCCACAAACACCCCCUUCUUUCUCUUUGUCACAGAUGACAAACUACAAAACAACACUUCUCUCUCUCUCUCUCAGUUGUUUUCAUUUUUAUUAACUUGUUGCUCACACUCUUUUCUUUUCUUUUCCUUGCCUCACACAACUCCCUCGACACCUCUCCUUCUCUUUCCUUCUUUUAUGCUUUUCUUCAACCCCUUAUCUUCUUUAAUAUAGCUGAAAAUUUGCAUAUGUAACGGGAGUAGAAUUGGUGAGCAACAUAAAAUGGAGAUGUAGGCCAAAGAGGCUGGCUGAGAAGGCCAGCUCAACCGUACAUAAGCUGUUCAAACUGAUGCAUAGGCCAACAUACAGAUUAGGUUGUCGAGCUUCUUGGAUAAUUUAUAGAAGAGAUGAUAAGGAACAAUUUUUGUGAAUGAAGUGUUUUUGUUUGAUCACAGUAAGUUGGAUUUUUAAGCUCCAAACAUGACUGUAUGGUUUUCCGCCGAUUUUCAAGGCUGUAUAGUAUUUUGAUAAUCUGGAAUGAAUGGACAGUUAGAUCUUUCUGAGACUUUGAUAUGUUAAGUUAGAGAGAAUAAGGAACGAUUUCUAUGAAGAAAAUAUUUUGAUAUGAGUAAGAGAAAAUGUAGUUUCGAAGCUCACAACAGGCCUGACGGGUUGACAGACGAAUGCUGAGCAGUCACUGAUUAUACCUGAGUUUCUGAAGUUAUACAGCUCCUAUGGAUCUCAUAUUUGGAUAUGUUGUAUUUAACGAGUUAACGAACAACUUUCUUGAAGACGGAUUUUUGAUUUGAAGUAUAGAAAAUGGUAAUUUGAUCUGCAAAACAGAUAUGACGAAUUUCUGGUUCUUGAAAUUCUUUCUCUUGAUAACUAGAAGAAAAUGAUGAUGAGUUUGGUGGAGAGAUUUGUUGGGUAAGCUCUUAUGCAUUUUUUGGGAUUUGUAUGUGAUUUCUUUCUCCGGAUUCUCGUUGAAAACUAGAAGGAGAUUUGGUGGUGCUUCACAGAGUUGGAUAAUGGUGUUUCACUAGAACUUGAUAACACAAACAUUCACAUAAACACACAGUAUAGGAGUGGUUCGUCAAAGUGACUACAUCCAUUGAGGUUUGCUUUCAUUUGUAUUUCACUAUAUAUGAGAGACUUACAAAUACAAUGAAAGAUGACUUAAAACGUUUACAUAAGGUAAAAUAAAUGGAUGACGAAAGAGGAAUGGUCUGAGAAAGAGAACAUUCUUUUUGCUAGUGUGUUCUUGCUGGUGUGGUGUUCUCCCUUUUUUUUCCUCGUGUCCUUCUUCUAGUUCUUGCUCCUUCCUUUAUAGGGAUCAUAUGAGAUCUUCCUUCUCACAACGUGUACAAUCUAACUUGAGGUUAAAAGCUCCGUAGUGUCCCAAUAGAAAGACACAUUGUGCAAAUUAUUAACCAUUAAUAAUGAUAUGUUAAACUUAUCAUUAAUAAUGAUAUGUGUCCCAAUAACAAAGCAAAAUGUGUUAGCUAAUCCUGAACAAAAAAUAUCAUGUAAGAUGGAUGCAUGUCUAAGGCCACGUUAAAGUUUAUCUUAUGGUGAGCUUGUUGGAACAAAACAUAUGGUAACUCUACAAAUUGGUAGGAUAUCCGGAUGGUGAAUUAAAACCUCCAAAACCCAUGGUUAUAAUCACACCUCAAACUAAAACCAAAAGAGUAGCAAAGUAUUUAAUUGCUAGUGGCACGCAAAUGAGAAAUACAAAGCCUAACAAAUCAAUCUACAAAUAAAGUGAAACAUAUAGGUAUUUGUUAACUAAUGAAAAAAAGAACUUGGUAUAUCAAACUUUAGCAUAAAACACAAAUUAAAAGUACUUCGACACUUUUAUAUAUAUACCCACUUUUUAAAAUACGGAGUAUUACACUUGCACAUGCCUCUUAUAUAAAGUUGUUUUAGUCCUUUCACGAUCAAGCUUAACAUAUACGACAUUGUUCUUCUUUUAACUCCAAGCAUGAACUUUCCCCUCCUAAAAACUUAGGCUCCAAAUCAUUUCAAUUGUUGCCUAAUUUUUUAGGGAGGAAAGCUCAUAUUUGGAUCCAAAAGUAGAAAAUGUUAUGGAUGUUAGACCUGCAUAGUGAAAAGAUCGUAACACUCUAUAACAAAUAUACUUAUAAUUUUGAGUUUGUUUUUGUAUUGCAUGUGGUUUAAUAUUCUAGUAAAUAAGUCAUUGAGUUUCCACCUAGGUGUCUCAGGUUCGAGAUUCUCCCCUCAUAAAUUAUUUCAAAAAAGGUAACAUAUUGAAAUUUGAAUAAAAGUUAAGGUGACAAAUACAAAAUUUGCCUUUUCUUCUCUAUUAUGAAACUGGACCAUCAACAUUAAGGCUCAAUUUAUAGACCCAAAAAGGCCUUAUUAAAUUAUAAUUAUUAAAAUGUGUAUUAUAUAAAAGGAAGGGGUCCAAAACAAGUACAAGGGUGCACAAAGCGAUAAAAGGAGCAUGCGGAAAUCAUUUCCCGACAUUUAUCACCUUCCUUCUACUCUAAUGCCAGUGAGCAGUGAUUGAGUGACAUUUACAGGAGAAGGCGCAGGGUCAAUCCAGGGAGUGUUAGCACCACUUGCAUUGCUGCCUCCCGGCUGAUAGUUGAGGCGAACAUUACUAUCCUUGGAUGCAGUUGAUGGGGUAUCAUCCCCCACCAAAAAACUAUUUGUUGACAAUGUUAUUACAUCUUUAAAAUCAUAAUCUGUCAAAUAACUUGGCUUCGACAUGACAGUGCCUAAGUCAAUGUCUCCAGAGAGCAUUGCAGCCACGCGUGACAUAGAUGGCCUCGCCAUCGGUGAUCCCUGCGUGCACAAGAGAGCUGCUCGUAUCAAUCUAGUUGCUUCAGUUUCAUCAAACUCUGUCAAUCUUGGAUCCACCAGCCCCAGAGUUUGGUCGUUUUCAUGUAGAGUCCAUACCUGAAAAACAUUAUGCCACGGUCAAAGGAAAGUAUAAAUAAGUUUUUCACAACAAUGCCAAAAUGAAGCUAGGGGGAUGCAAUUCCUACCCAUUCAAGAAGAUAAAUCUUUUUUGGAUCCAAGUUAUUGUAAGAGUUUGGUCUCCCGCUGAGGAUCUCCAAAACGACGACUCCAAAACCAAACACAUCGACCUUCUCUGUCAAAUGUCCAAACAAUGCAUACUCCGGUGCCAAAUAGCCUCUGCAAUGCAAGAUAAUCAAAUGGUUGCACAAUGUUGCUUGAGAUCAUUAGAGGCAUUAUUAACAUGUGUGUUAAAAUUUCAUGCAAGUAUAAAUGUGUGUGGCCAUAAUGUAUGUAUCCUCUAGAAAAACAAUAAAGGAUGGCUUACAUUGUCCCUGCAACCCGGGUGCUGAUGUGGGUUUUCUCGUCAUCAUAAAGCUUUGCUAGUCCAAAAUCUGAUAUUUUUGGGGAGAGUUCUGCAUUGAGCAAAAUAUUACUCGCUUUGACAUCUCGAUGUACAAUCCUUGGCCUUGACUCCUCAUGAAGGUAAGCAAGUCCUCUUGCUGUUCCCAACAAUAUAUUGAAUCGAGUAGGCCAAUCAAGGUGCAAGUUACUUGU
Molecule: long non-coding RNA, 25846 nt
Filed under: Malus domestica (apple)
Lineage: Eukaryota; Viridiplantae; Streptophyta; Magnoliopsida; Rosales; Rosaceae
Description: long non-coding RNA (MDOM_LNC005286)
Source: RNAcentral